RNAcentral lists this ribosomal RNA (253 nucleotides) under uncultured bacterium. Its description in RNAcentral is "partial 16S ribosomal RNA". It matches the Rfam family "Bacterial small subunit ribosomal RNA", at positions 524 to 776 of the family's 1533-position model. The record is from RNAcentral.
GACGAAGGAUGCAAGCGUUAUCCGGAUUCAUUGGGGUUAAAGGGAGCGUAGGUGGCCUUAUAAGUCAGCGGUGAAAUCUCUGGGCUUAACCCAGAAAUUGCCAUUGAUACUGUAGGGCUUGAGUACAGUUGCUGUGGGCGGAAUAUGACAUGUAGUGGUGAAAUACAUAGAGAUGUCAUAGAACACCGAUUGCGAAGGCAGCUCACAAAACUGUAACUGACACUGAGGCUCGAAAGUGCGGGGAUCAAACAGG